UACAGAGGGGGCAAGCGUUGUUCGGAAUUACUGGGCGUAAAGGGCGCGUAGGCGGCCUGUUAAGUCGGACGUGAAAUCCCUCGGCUCAACCGGGGAACUGCGUCCGAUACUGGCGGGCUUGAAUUCGGGAGAGGGAUGUGGAAUUCCAGGUGUAGCGGUGAAAUGCGCAGAUAUCAGGAGGAACACCGGUGGCGAAGGCGGAUCUCUGGGCCAUUACUGACGCUGAGGAGCGAAAGCGUGGGGAGCGAACAGG
This 253-nucleotide ribosomal RNA is filed under the name uncultured bacterium. RNAcentral's name for it is "partial 16S ribosomal RNA". It matches the Rfam family "Bacterial small subunit ribosomal RNA", at positions 524 to 776 of the family's 1533-position model. The record is from RNAcentral.